RNAcentral lists this transfer RNA (72 nucleotides) under Bos taurus (domestic cattle). It matches the Rfam family "tRNA". From Rfam's summary of the family: Transfer RNA (tRNA) molecules are approximately 80 nucleotides in length. Their secondary structure includes four short double-helical elements and three loops (D, anti-codon, and T loops). Lineage: Eukaryota; Metazoa; Chordata; Mammalia; Artiodactyla; Bovidae. The record is from Rfam by way of RNAcentral. RNAcentral also lists the same sequence under 1 other name.
UCCCUGGGGGCUCAGUGGUAAAGAAUCUGCCUGCCAAUGCAGAAGACUCAGGUUUGAUCCCUGGCCCAGGAA